GUACGCGUAGCGAAAGCGAGUCUUAAAAGGCGUGUGAGUCGCGUGUCCUGGACCCGAAGCGGGAUGAUCUAGCCCUGGGCAGGUUGAAGCGCGGGUAAGACCGUGUGGAGGACCGAACCCACCUGGGUUGAAAACCGGGGGGAUGACCUGGGGCUAGGGGUGAAAGGCCAAUCAAAUUCCGUGAUAGCUGGUUCUCUCCGAAAUGCAUUUAGGUGCAGCGUCGGUUGAUUGCGUCCGGGGGGUAGAGCUACUGGAUGCUUGCGGGCCCGUAUUGGGUACCAACAGCAGCCAAACUCCGAAUACCCGUGGCGUGUAUGCUGGCAGUGAGUCGGCGGGGGAUAAGCUCCGUCGUCAAAAGGGAAACAGCCCAGAUCGUCGUCUAAGGUCCCUAAGCGCGUGCUAAGUGGGAAAGGAUGUGGAGUCGCAUAGACAGCCAGGAGGUUGGCUCAGAAGCAGCCAUCCUUGAAAGAGUGCGUAACAGCUCACUGGUCUAGUGGUUCCGCGCCGACAAUGUAGCGGGGCUCAAGCACGCCACCGAAGACGCGGCAACAACGUUUGUUGUUGGGUAGGAGAGCGUCCUGCACGGGGUGAAGCCGUGGCGUAAGCCUAUGGUGGACUGUGUGGGAGUGAGAAUGCAGACAUGAGUAGCGAGAGCGGGGUGUGAAUCCCCGCCGCUGGAUGACCAAGGGUUCCGGGGCCACGUUCGUCGUCCCCGGGUGAGUCGGGUCCUAAGGCGAGGCCGACAGGCGUAGUCGAAUGGAUGAACGGGUUGAUAUUCCCGUACCGGUAGUAGACCGAUCAGACUGAAUCCAUGAGUACUAACCUCCGGAUGAUCUUGAUCCUGCCUUCGGGUUGGUGAUGGGUUGUUUGUUGGGACUGUAGUGGUAGUAGGUGAGCACAGGAGCGACGCGGAAGGGUAGCCGACUGCGGAGGUGGUUUUCCGUGGUUAAGCGUGUGGCCCGCAUCCUAGGUAAAUCCGGGGUGCAUGAGGGUGAGGCGUGAUGAUGGGAGUCUUUUGGCUUGAAUUCGGUGAUCCCAUGCCGUCUAGAAAAACUUCGGUGUGAGGGCUGUUGCCGCCCGUACCCUAAACCGACACUGGUGGUCAGGUAGAGAAUACCAAAGCGAUCGAGUGAAUCCUGGUCAAGGAACUCGGCAAAUUACUCCCGUGCCUUCGGUAUAAGGGAGACCCUUGAAUGUGAAGCGUGUACGCGUGGAGCGUUUGGGGGUGGCACAGGCCAGGGGGUAGCGACUGUUUACCAAAAACACAGGAGCGUGCGAAGGCGUAAGCCGCUGUAUACGCUCUGACGCCUGCCCGGUGCCGGAAGGUUAAGAGGAUCCGUCAGCCCUUUGGGUGAAGCGGUGAAUUUAAGCCCCGGUAAACGGCGGUGGUAACUAUAACCAUCCUAAGGUAGCGAAAUUCCUUGUCGGGUAAGUUCCGACCUGCACGAAUGGCGUAACGACUUCCCCACUGUCUCGACCAGGAGCUCGGCGAAAUUGCAGUACGAGUAAAGAUGCUCGUUAAGCGCAGAAGGACGAAAAGACCCCGGGACCUUUACUAUACCUUGGUAUUGGCGUUAGGCGCGGAUUGUGUAGCAUAGGCGGGAGACUGUGAAGCGUGGGCGCCAGCUCAUGUGGAGUCGUAAGGUGAAAUACCGCUCUGUUCUCGUUUGACGUCUAACCACGACAUGUUAUCCAUGUUUGGGACAGUGCCUGGCGGGUAGUUUAACUGGGGCGGUUGCCUCCUAAAGAGUAACGGAGGCGCUCAAAGGUCCGCUCAGCCCGGUUGGCAAUCGGGUGUCGAGUGUAAUCGCACAAGCGGGCUUGACUGUGAGAACGACGGUUCGAGCAGGGACGAAAGUCGGAGAUAGUGAUCCGGUGCCGGCGCACGGGCGCGGCAUCGCUCAACGGAUAAAAGGUACCCCGGGGAUAACAGGCUGAUCAUUCCCAAGAGUCCAUAUCGACGGGAUGGUUUGGCACCUCGAUGUCGGCUCGUCGCAUCCUGGGGCUGGAGCAGGUCCCAAGGGUUCGGCUGUUCGCCGAUCAAAGCGGCACGCGAGCUGGGUUCAGAACGUCGUGAGACAGUUUGGUCUCUAUCCUCUGCGCUCGUUGGAAUCUUGAGGAGGCCUGCCCAUAGUACGAGAGGACCUGGGUGGACGAACCUCUGGUAUGCCAGUUAUCCCGCCAGGGGUAUGGCUGGUUAGCUACGUUCGGAAGGGAUAACCGCUGAAAGCAUCUAAGCGGGAAGCCCGCUCCAAGAUAAGGAUUCCGUAAGGCCUUGAGCCUUUGUACCCUCCAUGAAGAACACGUGGUUGAUAGGCCGGACGUGGAAGCCGUGCAAGCGGUGGAGCUGACCGGUACUAACAGGGAACAGCAACCAACU
This 2380-nucleotide ribosomal RNA is filed under the name Bifidobacterium biavatii DSM 23969. RNAcentral's name for it is "bacterial LSU rRNA". It matches the Rfam family "Bacterial large subunit ribosomal RNA", at positions 662 to 2925 of the family's 2925-position model. Lineage: Bacteria; Bacillati; Actinomycetota; Actinomycetes; Bifidobacteriales; Bifidobacteriaceae. The record is from RNAcentral.